GGUCUUGUGGCCCAAUGGUUAAGGCGCCUGACUACGAGUGUAUGUCAUUCUGAUUGCAAUCAGGAGAUUCCAGGUUCGACUCCUGGCAAGAUCA
This is a non-coding RNA of Myriangium duriaei CBS 260.36, 94 nucleotides long. Lineage: Eukaryota; Fungi; Ascomycota; Dothideomycetes; Myriangiales; Myriangiaceae. The record is from the annotation of a GenBank genome assembly.